RNAcentral lists this ribosomal RNA (397 nucleotides) under uncultured bacterium. Its description in RNAcentral is "bacterial SSU rRNA". It matches the Rfam family "Bacterial small subunit ribosomal RNA", at positions 490 to 890 of the family's 1533-position model. The record is from RNAcentral.
GCCCCGGCUAACUACGUGCCAGCAGCCGCGGUAAUACGUAGGGGGCGAGCGUUGUCCGGAUUUAUUGGGCGUAAAGGGUUCGCAGGCGGCCUUUUAAGUCAGAUGUGAAAGAUCACGGCUCAACCGUGGUAAGCAUUUGAAACUGGAAGGCUUGAGUUAAGGAGAGGAAAGUGGAAUUCCUAGUGUAGCGGUGAAAUGCGUAGAUAUUAGGAGGAAUACCAGUGGCGAAGGCGACUUUCUGGACUUAUACUGACGCUGAGGAACGAAAGCGUGGGGAGCAAACAGGAUUAGAUACCCUGGUAGUCCACGCCGUAAACGAUGAGUGCUAGGUGUCGGGGGUCAAACCUCGGUGCCGGAGCUAACGCAUUAAGCACUCCGCCUGGGGAGUACGUACGCA